Lytechinus pictus (painted urchin) is the source of this 3116-nucleotide long non-coding RNA. RefSeq lists it as uncharacterized. NCBI's taxonomy places the organism in Eukaryota, Metazoa, Echinodermata, Echinoidea, Temnopleuroida, Toxopneustidae. The record is from RefSeq and is a predicted model, not a curated record. The transcript has 3 exons.
UAGCCUCAUCUUGAUAAAAACCCAGGAGUGUAUCUCAACGCUGACCAGCCUCCAUGCCUCAAGUUCAUGGUGACGGAAGCAGACAUCAGAAGACAGGAAGAAAGGGUCAAGGAGGUCAGAGAUCGCUUACAAAGGGUCAUGAAGGGUGACCCGGAAGCUAUACAAGGCCUGACGCUUUAGAACAGUCCUCUCCAGUGCCCCAAUGACCUCCCCUUAAAGAUGAAUUAGACUUUGCAGAAGAUGAUUGAAUCAGAUUGCCCCCCUUCUCUGCUCCUCCCUCAGUCAUCCACUGAAGAUGCAGUCUGGAAUCGUGCUCCCUUUGUGUGUCUGACCGCCCAGCAUCCUAGGUAACCAUGGCGACCCCUCAUCACCUGGCCAAUCCUUCAGCAUCUCGGUGGCGAGGGCAGAGAAACCAAAGCCUCCCACAAUGCAAUUGGUUCUGCCGUCGUCUCGGCGAUGACAAGAGAUGCCAGAAGGGUAUGUAGCAUCUCUCUGCUCCUACCGAUAUCAUCUUGAUGCCAUCAUCAUCAUCAUCUUCUCGUUCUUCUCUGCUUGAAUUCAGAGAUGCAUGCAUCCAAUAUCCCUCUUACUCUCUUCACCCACCUCAUCAUGCCAUAUUUUCAUGGCUAUCUCCCCAUCCCAAACAAUAUUUUUAUACUACUGUAAUGAGUUGUACAUAUGUUUCAGAUAGGUAAGGCAGAGGAUGUCACAUCUAGACAUGUGCACUUUUGCUUUAUUUGUAUAUAUUGCACCACUGCUAUUAUUGACAAGGUGUAAAGAAAAUGAUGUAGAAAGAUGCUCCAUUUGUUGAUUGUAGUUCCAACAGGGAAUGAAAUUUGCAAACCUAAGUAUAAAUGUCAGGAAACAGCAUUUAGUAUAUACAAAUGUCAAUUAAAAAUUACAAUUGAAUAUAAUAAAGUCUAGACUCAGAGAUAAUCAUUUUUUGUUCGUAUUGAAGUUGAUCAUCAUUACAUGUUUAUUUAUUCUUCAAAUACUCCAAUGCGAUAGAAAUAAUUCUUGUUGUAUUUAUAUCUUCAUGGUUUGCAUCUGUUAAUUAUCCCUUUCUGCAUGAUUAAACUUUUUUUUUUAAUCAAUUUCAGAUUUCAGUGUUUAAAACUGACCACAAAAUUUUUUCAUCCUAUGCAAACUAACAAAGUUUUCUGUUGAGUUCUUUGGCUUUAGUUAAAUGUUAACUUUGUUUUGUUGAUGAGUUCUUGCAAGUUGACCCUUUUGAGUUCAAAAGUUCAAUGAUAUUAAAUUAUUGUUCAUUGUGUUUAUUCAGUUCUCAUGUGUAGCUUAAGCUUUGAGUUUUCAAAUGUUUGGUUGUUUCAUCUUCGUUAUAUCUAUGAAAAUACAAACUCCAGUGAACUUAUUAGAUAUUUCUUUCAGUCACGGGCAAGUGCAGCACCAUAAAACCUACUAAGGAUGUCCUGUUGCCUUUGAAAAAAUCCAAACAAUACACAUACAUUAAUCCUUAAUUCUAUACACAAAGAUAUGAUAUCUUAUUCCAGAAUGAUAUGAAAGAUGGUUAGUCAUAAUUAGGUCUAGAUAUACAUAUAUGUGUUCAAUAAGAUUAACAAUUGAUGGUACCCAACAUUAUGUGAACAACUCCAGCAAUCACCUUUGCUGCCCAGAAAGAUAGGAAGACUACAUUUGAAUAAUUUCUUUCAACAUAAAGUCUAGAUUAUGUUAGUUUCCUUUUCUGCAAUUAUGUCAGCAACAAAAUUGUAUUCUGAUUCUGAGGUUGGGCUUAUAACUGCGGUAGUUGUUAUUUUCAUCUAAAAUACUCAAUAAUUGACAUUAAGAGAUAUGUAGUAUUCUACUCAUUCCAAUAGGUAUGAAGGUCAGUUUUUAAUCAUUUUUUUGUAAAUGAUGUUGACUUGAUACUGUCAGUACAUAUCCUAAUGUAAUGACCAUUGCGAUCAUGAUAUUAGUACUUUGCAUUUGGUAAUUCUAGAUACACUCAAUUUUGAAUUUCAAAAGAUUAAAAUCCAACUUAACUGUAGCAGGCAUUUUUUGAGAAUUUGGGAACUGUUUCUCAUCCAGAUUUUGGAAUUUCAUAUAGAAUUAGAAGUGUGUGUUAUUUUUUUAUACAUGUUUCUUGGGAUGUCAGAAGAAUAAAACCAAUUUACUAAUUUACUGUUUAGUGAGACAAUUCCCUGCUUGGGUCUCUAUUCAUUACAUGAUUAUUCUCAAGGGAAUGUCUUAUUUUCGUCAUCUCAAAUCUAUAUUUUUAUUCUUUUUGUUGUUAUCAAUAAAAUUCUGUAUAUUUUGCACACCCCUUGAGUGACUCAAGGCUAUCAAAAUCAAUCUGAUUUGAUGGCAUCUCAUAGUCUUAGUCCAUUUCAAAUAAGAUUUAUUUAUUACAAAACAUUUUGCAGCUCCCAUGAACUAUACACACCUGAUAUAUUGGAUUGGAAAUUCAUUGCAAAAGAACCAGAGUUGGAAUACAAAGUAUAAUCAUACUGCUUUAAAAAAUCAAUCUUAUUGUUUAAAGUGUCCUAAAAUUAUUUUUAAUUCAUCCUUAACUGCAUUAUUUUGAGAAUUCUAAACUUUGGGAAAUAAGACUAGGCCUAGUAAUUUUAUGAUUCCUUUCCUAUAUUUUUUUUGGGAAAAUAUUUUGCUGUUUUAAGUUUUAAUGAGCCACUCUAAAUUACAGGGAACUCCGAUAGAUAUAGAUCAAUUGUGAUGAUGAUCUGUCAAGCUCUAGAUUUAAUGUUGGAAUCACAAAUAAUUAAUUUGAAAUCUCAAAUGAUUUAAAUAGAAAUUUUAAAGCUUUAAAUUCAAAUCUUUAUGGUUUUUAAUCUUAAUCCAAUAUUCAGUUGGUUAUUCACCACAGCCAAUUUAUUUCAAAAUCCAUGAAAUUAUGAAUGCGGAAUGACUGUUCUUUACCUCUAAAUUUUUCACAGGAUUCAUUAAGUCAGUAAUUCCUCUAGUUUAUGAAAGAUUUGAAUGUGAUGACAUUUACUCUACUUUAAGAAACUUCACUGUAGGAAAAUGUCUGCUGACAUAACAAUAGCUGGAAUAAUGAUUUGAAUUUAAUUGAUGUAAAUUAUCUUAAUGAUUAAAAAAUAUGUAAAUCUAUGUUUGCAGAAUAAAAGUGCAUGAAACUGAAA